RNAcentral lists this ribosomal RNA (2901 nucleotides) under Escherichia coli. RNAcentral's name for it is "23S ribosomal RNA". It matches the Rfam family "Bacterial large subunit ribosomal RNA". Lineage: Bacteria; Pseudomonadati; Pseudomonadota; Gammaproteobacteria; Enterobacterales; Enterobacteriaceae. The record is from RNAcentral.
UUAAGCGACUAAGCGUACACGGUGGAUGCCCUGGCAGUCAGAGGCGAUGAAGGACGUGCUAAUCUGCGAUAAGCGUCGGUAAGGUGAUAUGAACCGUUAUAACCGGCGAUUUCCGAAUGGGGAAACCCAGUGUGAUUCGUCACACUAUCAUUAACUGAAUCCAUAGGUUAAUGAGGCGAACCGGGGGAACUGAAACAUCUAAGUACCCCGAGGAAAAGAAAUCAACCGAGAUUCCCCCAGUAGCGGCGAGCGAACGGGGAGGAGCCCAGAGCCUGAAUCAGUGUGUGUGUUAGUGGAAGCGUCUGGAAAGGCGCGCGAUACAGGGUGACAGCCCCGUACACAAAAAUGCACAUAUUGUGAGCUCAAUGAGUAGGGCGGGACACGUGGUAUCCUGUCUGAAUAUGGGGGGACCAUCCUCCAAGGCUAAAUACUCCUGACUGACCGAUAGUGAACCAGUACCGUGAGGGAAAGGCGAAAAGAACCCCGGCGAGGGGAGUGAAAAAGAACCUGAAACCGUGUACGUACAAGCAGUGGGAGCCUCUUUAUGGGGUGACUGCGUACCUUUUGUAUAAUGGGUCAGCGACUUAUAUUCUGUAGCAAGGUUAACCGAAUAGGGGAGCCGAAGGGAAACCGAGUCUUAACUGGGCGUUAAGUUGCAGGGUAUAGACCCGAAACCCGGUGAUCUAGCCAUGGGCAGGUUGAAGGUUGGGUAACACUAACUGGAGGACCGAACCGACUAAUGUUGAAAAAUUAGCGGAUGACUUGUGGCUGGGGGUGAAAGGCCAAUCAAACCGGGAGAUAGCUGGUUCUCCCCGAAAGCUAUUUAGGUAGCGCCUCGUGAAUUCAUCUCCGGGGGUAGAGCACUGUUUCGGCAAGGGGGUCAUCCCGACUUACCAACCCGAUGCAAACUGCGAAUACCGGAGAAUGUUAUCACGGGAGACACACGGCGGGUGCUAACGUCCGUCGUGAAGAGGGAAACAACCCAGACCGCCAGCUAAGGUCCCAAAGUCAUGGUUAAGUGGGAAACGAUGUGGGAAGGCCCAGACAGCCAGGAUGUUGGCUUAGAAGCAGCCAUCAUUUAAAGAAAGCGUAAUAGCUCACUGGUCGAGUCGGCCUGCGCGGAAGAUGUAACGGGGCUAAACCAUGCACCGAAGCUGCGGCAGCGACGCUUAUGCGUUGUUGGGUAGGGGAGCGUUCUGUAAGCCUGUGAAGGUGUGCUGUGAGGCAUGCUGGAGGUAUCAGAAGUGCGAAUGCUGACAUAAGUAACGAUAAAGCGGGUGAAAAGCCCGCUCGCCGGAAGACCAAGGGUUCCUGUCCAACGUUAAUCGGGGCAGGGUGAGUCGACCCCUAAGGCGAGGCCGAAAGGCGUAGUCGAUGGGAAACAGGUUAAUAUUCCUGUACUUGGUGUUACUGCGAAGGGGGGACGGAGAAGGCUAUGUUGACCGGGCGACGGUUGUCCCGGUUUAAGCGUGUAGGCUGGUUUUCCAGGCAAAUCCGGAAAAUCAAGGCUGAGGCGUGAUGACGAGGCACUACGGUGCUGAAGCAACAAAUGCCCUGCUUCCAGGAAAAGCCUCUAAGCAUCAGGUAACAUCAAAUCGUACCCCAAACCGACACAGGUGGUCAGGUAGAGAAUACCAAGGCGCUUGAGAGAACUCGGGUGAAGGAACUAGGCAAAAUGGUGCCGUAACUUCGGGAGAAGGCACGCUGAUAUGUAGGUGAAGCGACUUGCUCGUGGAGCUGAAAUCAGUCGAAGAUACCAGCUGGCUGCAACUGUUUAUUAAAAACACAGCACUGUGCAAACACGAAAGUGGACGUAUACGGUGUGACGCCUGCCCGGUGCCGGAAGGUUAAUUGAUGGGGUCAGCGCAAGCGAAGCUCUUGAUCGAAGCCCCGGUAAACGGCGGCCGUAACUAUAACGGUCCUAAGGUAGCGAAAUUCCUUGUCGGGUAAGUUCCGACCUGCACGAAUGGCGUAAUGAUGGCCAGGCUGUCUCCACCCGAGACUCAGUGAAAUUGAACUCGCUGUGAAGAUGCAGUGUACCCGCGGCAAGACGGAAAGACCCCGUGAACCUUUACUAUAGCUUGACACUGAACAUUGAGCCUUGAUGUGUAGGAUAGGUGGGAGGCUUUGAAGUGUGGACGCCAGUCUGCAUGGAGCCGACCUUGAAAUACCACCCUUUAAUGUUUGAUGUUCUAACGUUGACCCGUAAUCCGGGUUGCGGACAGUGUCUGGUGGGUAGUUUGACUGGGGCGGUCUCCUCCUAAAGAGUAACGGAGGAGCACGAAGGUUGGCUAAUCCUGGUCGGACAUCAGGAGGUUAGUGCAAUGGCAUAAGCCAGCUUGACUGCGAGCGUGACGGCGCGAGCAGGUGCGAAAGCAGGUCAUAGUGAUCCGGUGGUUCUGAAUGGAAGGGCCAUCGCUCAACGGAUAAAAGGUACUCCGGGGAUAACAGGCUGAUACCGCCCAAGAGUUCAUAUCGACGGCGGUGUUUGGCACCUCGAUGUCGGCUCAUCACAUCCUGGGGCUGAAGUAGGUCCCAAGGGUAUGGCUGUUCGCCAUUUAAAGUGGUACGCGAGCUGGGUUUAGAACGUCGUGAGACAGUUCGGUCCCUAUCUGCCGUGGGCGCUGGAGAACUGAGGGGGGCUGCUCCUAGUACGAGAGGACCGGAGUGGACGCAUCACUGGUGUUCGGGUUGUCAUGCCAAUGGCACUGCCCGGUAGCUAAAUGCGGAAGAGAUAAGUGCUGAAAGCAUCUAAGCACGAAACUUGCCCCGAGAUGAGUUCUCCCUGACUCCUUGAGAGUCCUGAAGGAACGUUGAAGACGACGACGUUGAUAGGCCGGGUGUGUAAGCGCAGCGAUGCGUUGAGCUAACCGGUACUAAUGAACCGUGAGGCUUAACCUU